GAUCAUGGCUCAGGAUGAACGCUAGCUACAGGCUUAACACAUGCAAGUCGAGGGGCAGCGAAGAGGUAGCAAUACCUUUGCCGGCGACCGGCGCACGGGUGAGUAACACGUAUGCAAUCCACCUGUAACAGGGGGAUAACCCGGAGAAAUCCGGACUAAUACCCCAUAAUAUGGGCGCUCCGCAUGGAGAGCCCAUUAAAGAGAGCAAUUUUGGUUACAGACGAGCAUGCGCU
RNAcentral lists this ribosomal RNA (233 nucleotides) under uncultured bacterium. Its description in RNAcentral is "partial 16S ribosomal RNA". It matches the Rfam family "Bacterial small subunit ribosomal RNA", at positions 15 to 237 of the family's 1533-position model. The record is from RNAcentral.